UUGAUCCUGCCGGAGGCUACCGCUAUUGGAGUUCGAUUAAGCCAUGCGAGUCGAGAGUCCUCGGGACUCGGCGUACCGCUCAGUAACACGUGGGUAACCUGCCCUAUGCUGGGGAAUAACCUCGGGAAACUGAGAAUAAUGCCCCAUAGCCCACUACGCCUGGAACGGUGAGUGGGUCAAAGCUCCGGCGGCAUAGGAUGGGCCUGCGCCGUAUCAGGUUGUAGGGGGUGUAAAGUACCCUCUAGCCAUCAACGCGUACGGGUGUUGGGAGACAUUGCCCGGAGAUGGAUUCUGAGACACGAAUCCAGACCCUACGGGGUGCAGCAGGCGCGAAAACUUGGCAAUGCGAGAAAUCGUGACCANGGAACUCCAAGUGCGUAGGGUAAGACCUACGCUUUUCUUGACUCUUCAAAGGUCUUGGAAUAAGGGGUGGGUAAGGACGGUGCCAGCCGCCGCGGUAAUACCGGCGCCUCAAGUGGUAGUCGCUUUUAUUGGGCCUAAAACGUCCGUAGCCGGUCUGGUGCAUUCGUGGGUAAAUCAACCCGCUCAACGGGUUGAAUUCUGCGAGCACGGCCAGACUUGGGACCGGGAGAGGUGUGGGGUACUCUCCAGGGUAGGGGUAAAAUCCUGUCAUCCUGAGAGGACCACUGUUGCA
This 655-nucleotide ribosomal RNA is filed under the name uncultured archaeon. Its description in RNAcentral is "bacterial SSU rRNA". It matches the Rfam family "Archaeal small subunit ribosomal RNA", at positions 8 to 667 of the family's 1478-position model. The record is from RNAcentral.